Long non-coding RNA from Pyrus x bretschneideri (Chinese white pear), 1858 nucleotides. RefSeq lists it as uncharacterized. NCBI's taxonomy places the organism in Eukaryota, Viridiplantae, Streptophyta, Magnoliopsida, Rosales, Rosaceae. The record is from RefSeq and is a predicted model, not a curated record. The transcript is spliced from 6 exons.
AAAUAUGCCACGGGGAGAAAGAGCAGCGGGAAGCCAACCAGGAAAAAAAAAAAGCCCAGUUGGGAAAAGGGAAGGUUGAGUGCCCAAUGAAGAAGAGAGAGGAAAAUGAGGUGACUAAUCAAAAAUAGAAGAAAUGAGGGGAAGAGAGAGAGGCAAGAUGCACGAAAUCAACCCUUGAUCAGUGCGACCAGCGACCCGGUUGUAGUUGGUGGGUUUCUCCGGCGAAAUUCAUCGUUUUCCGACAAAUUGGGCCGAUCCACCACUCCCAAUCAUGAUCUAGCCCUUCCCUUUUCCAUUUCCAACCAAAUCUUAUUAGGUUUGAGCUUGAAUUCUUGUAGAACGGAACCCGUGGGUUCCAAGGGUGCCAUUGCGAAAUCCGACGAUCAUGAAAGAAAUGUCGACCACCACCACCAUCAAACAACUUCCCUUGAGGCCAGGACAAAGCCUAAACCACCAUGGGCGCGGCUGAGCACUGAAAACGAAGAAUCAAAACCCACUCAUAUCUAGGGUUCCAGUGGGUUUCGAGGCAAAUUGGAGCCUUUCCCAACCAAAUUGGACUUGGCCAUAGAUUGGAUGGUGAAUUGGGAGAAGACCAAAUUGUCUAUCUUGGAGGAAGCAAUGACACAGAGGUCAAUGAGCAUAAUGGCCAAAAUGAGGAAGGCGUCGACGUGAAUGAGCUUGCGGGUCCAUCUGAUUUCGAGCCGCUUCUCGAUAAGAAAAUGCGGCAAAAGCAUAAAGAAAUGCAGCUUGUGCACCAUUUCACCCAUUUCCAAUCCUACAAAAGAAGUAAAGUUGGCGAUAGUCGAGCCAAGGGUGUCGGAGUUGUCCCAGAUCCCAUACGAAUCAUCCCCAAGCCCGAUGUGGAAGUGUUCAUCGACAUCGUGACGAGUUGGGCACAUUCGCCGAGCGAUGGAGUCGACAUGUACACAUUGGUUACUGUGGGUCGGUUUUUUUACCACACUCAUCCAUUUCAAGGCACAUCAACGUCGGCCUUUACCUUCUGAGGAAGUGAUCGAUGGAGCAUCCUAAACUUUUCGGGGAUUGGUGGACAACGAUUGACUGUUUUUUCUGGUGCCCGAAAAAAUGAAAAAGGAAGUUACGGAUUUUGAGAAUGGCAAAACCAAUGUUAAAGGCAAUGGGAAGGCAAAGGCAAAAGAAGCUUUGGUUUUUAGGCCUUUGAGAUAGUUGAUCAAUGUCGUUUUAGGCAUUGCAGACAUGAUGCCAAACAUGUGUGAAUGGGAGGAAGUCGACGAAGUAUUCAUCUCAUGUCACAUGAAUGGUGACUACUGGUUGUUAGCUCAUGUCCAUCUCUAACGUUGCACCAUCAUGGUUUAUGAUUCACAUUUCUCGAGGUCAGAGUGGGAAAAAAAUGAAGAAACAACUUGUGCAUAUGUGUUUUGUAAUUCCCACACUUCUAAAGGUGACAGAAUUCAACAAGGCGCGACCCGUUUUGAACCUAACCCCGAAAACGAUAGAUAAACUGUUUGAUAUUGAGCAUGUAAUCAAGUGCGGCCAACAGGACAACAAGGCAGACUACAGAGUUUUUUGAUUAAAAUUUGCCAACUACCUAUCCACUGGCUUGGCCAUUCAUGACAUUGCUCCUCGGAACAUGGGGGUUUUCAGACUCAAGCUUGCCAUCGAGUUCAUAAGAGGUCGUGCAUUUUUGUGAAAGGUUAUGUGGACAUUUAUUUGAGCAGUUUUUCUUGUUAUAACCAAACAAUUCGGCUCCUUUUAAGUUUUGUACAAUUUGCAGUUUAGGUGUAAUCGUAAUUUUAGUACUUAGUAUGUAAUCAUAAUUUUAGUACACUUUUCCAUUGCUUGUUUUCGAUAUUCAGUAUACAAUCUUAAUUUUAUUACU